AAAUUGAAGAGUUUGAUCAUGGCUCAGAUUGAACGCUGGCGGUAGGCUUAACACAUGCAAGUCGAACGGUAGCAGGAAGAGGCUUGCUUCUUUGCUGACGAGUGGCGGACGGGUGAGUAA
RNAcentral lists this ribosomal RNA (120 nucleotides) under Glaesserella parasuis. RNAcentral's name for it is "partial 16S ribosomal RNA". It matches the Rfam family "Bacterial small subunit ribosomal RNA", at positions 1 to 113 of the family's 1533-position model. The record is from RNAcentral. Lineage: Bacteria; Pseudomonadati; Pseudomonadota; Gammaproteobacteria; Pasteurellales; Pasteurellaceae.